UUCAUCAGUUAAGCAGGUAAAAGGUCUGGAGUUGAUUCUAAGUGCAUGUGGCAUUUGUAUUUGGAAGCUGUUGCUGUGAAUCCACAUGAUGUGGUCAAAGGAGCUCUCCAUGCAAGUGAAACAGCCCAUCGUUAGGCUUCAAAAACAAAACAGGAACAUUAGGAGUGGCCAAAUCAACAGUUGGAUAGAUGGUGCUUCACAGUACAGAUGGACAAUACUGCAAAAGGUAAAGAAGUGGAAUAUUCUGCAAUAGCAGAGUCAAUCUCCUGAUCUCAAUCCAGUCAACCCUAGUAAAAAAAAAGGGAAGCAUGCUUUUCACUUGGCAGACCCACCAACAAACAACAACUGAAGACAGCUGCAGUAAAGGCCUGGAUAGCAUCGCAAAAGAGGAAACCCAGUCUUUGGUGAUAUCUAUGGGUUCCAGACUGUCAUUGCCUGCAAAUGAUUCUCAAAAAAAAUAUUAAAAAUGAACAUUUUAUUUAUCAUUAUAUUCAUUUGUCCAAUUACAUUUGAGCCCUUGAAAAUAAGGGGAUUUCCUAAACGUUUCACAUAUUUUUGAAAGUCUGUGCUUCAAUUUUAUCUUGAUCAUUUAAUUUUAAUUUUGUUCUGGUGGCAUACAGAGCUAAAGUUAUGAACACGUUUUCUUUUAGGGGCUCUUCUUCAAUAAUAAUCAUAAAUCCUGACCAAAACUAAGAAUACAUUUUCACCCUGCCCUUCAUUAUUCAUGAAAAUAUUUGAAAGCAAACUCUGCCCCCUACCGACACAUUAGGUUUAGUGCAAUUGUUCAAACAGGUAUGUAGAAUCACGUUUCACAAGCAUUUAUGUAAAGAAAGUUUUCAUUAAAU
Megalobrama amblycephala (Wuchang bream) is the source of this 845-nucleotide long non-coding RNA. RefSeq lists it as uncharacterized. NCBI's taxonomy places the organism in Eukaryota, Metazoa, Chordata, Actinopteri, Cypriniformes, Xenocyprididae. The transcript is spliced from 2 exons. The record is from RefSeq and is a predicted model, not a curated record.